AUGGCGAAAUCUUUCACCUUAUUAGCGCUACUUAGCGCACUGGUUGUGCUCUCACUUCUUGUGAGCCCCAUUGCUUGUUCUCGCAAGCUCCCCAGGCCUGCAAUCAAGGCCCACAAGAACCACACCGCUUCUACCCCCUCGUCGUUUGCCGCUUAUGGCUCCGGCGGCUGGUUAGCCGGCGGCGCGACGUAUUACGGCGCCCCCAACGGCGACGGAAGCGACGGUGGCGCGUGUGGCUACCAGAGCGCUGUGGGGAACCGGCCGUUCUCGUCGAUGAUCGCCGCCGGCAACCCGUCGCUCUACAGAGAUGGCAAGGGCUGCGGAGCGUGCUACGAGGUUAAAUGCACAGGCAACCAGGCAUGCUCCGGCCAGCCGGCGACCGUCGUCAUCACCGACAAGUGCCCCGCCGGGGCCGCCUGCCUCGGUGAGGCCGCACACUUCGACAUGAGCGGCACCUCCAUGGGCGCCAUGGCGAAGCCUGGCAUGGCCGACAAACUCCGGGCCGGCGGUAUCAUCAAGAUCCAGUACAAGAGGGUGCCAUGCAAGUAUCCUGGCAUGAACAUUGCCUUCAAGGUGGACCAGGGCUCCAACCCCUACUACCUGGAGGUCCUGAUCGAGUUCGAGGACGACGACGGCGACCUCAACGCCGUGGACCUCAUGGAGGCCAACUGCGGCACCUGGACGCCCAUGGCGCAGAACUGGGGCGCGCUGUACCGCCUCAACUCCAACACCGGCAAGCCGCUGCGCGGGCCCUUCUCGCUCCGGCUCACCUCCGACUCCGGCAGGAAGCUCGUCGUCAACAACGUCAUCCCCGCCAGCUGGACGGCCGGAGCCACCUACCGCUCCUUGGUUAACUACCCCUAA
This 864-nucleotide ribosomal RNA is filed under the name Triticum aestivum (bread wheat). RNAcentral describes it as "partial small subunit ribosomal RNA". The record is from RNAcentral. Lineage: Eukaryota; Viridiplantae; Streptophyta; Magnoliopsida; Poales; Poaceae.